UUGAAUGAAUUGGGCUACAAAGCAUUGCUUCA
This 32-nucleotide non-coding RNA is filed under the name Homo sapiens (human). The record is from RNAcentral. Lineage: Eukaryota; Metazoa; Chordata; Mammalia; Primates; Hominidae.